RNAcentral lists this ribosomal RNA (549 nucleotides) under uncultured bacterium. Its description in RNAcentral is "bacterial SSU rRNA". It matches the Rfam family "Bacterial small subunit ribosomal RNA", at positions 136 to 681 of the family's 1533-position model. The record is from RNAcentral.
CGGGGGGAUAACCGGUGGAAACGCCGACUAAUAUCCCAUGGUUUCCGUUGGGGGCAUCCCCGGCGGAAUAAAGGCUUCGGCCGGUGACGGAUGGGCUCGCGUGACAUUAGGCAGUAGGCGGGGUAACGGCCCACCUAACCUACGAUGUCUAGGGGUUCUGAGAGGAAGGUCCCCCACACUGGAACUGAGACACGGUCCAGACUCCUACGGGAGGCAGCAGUGAGGAAUAUUGGUCAAUGGGCGGAAGCCUGAACCAGCCAUGCCGCGUGACGGAAGACGGCCCUAUGGGUCUUAAACGUCUUUGGUCCCGGAGCAAUAAGAGCCACGCGUGGCUCGAUGAGAGUACGGGAAGAACAAGCAUCGGCUAACUCCGUGCCAGCAGCCGCGGUAAUACGGGGGAUGCGAGCGUUAUCCGGAUUUAUUGGGUUUAAAGGGUGCGUAGGCGGGGUGGUAAGUCAGCCGUGAAAUGUCCACGCUCAACGUGGAACGUGCGUUUGAUACUGCCGUCCUGGAAUGCGGAUGCCGUGGGAGGAAUGUGUGGUGUAGCGG